CAGGGCAUAGCUAAAUAGUAGAGCACCUCCCUUACACCGAGAAGAUGUCCGUGCAAGUCGGACUGUCCUGA
Molecule: transfer RNA, 71 nt
Filed under: Dactyloptena orientalis (oriental flying gurnard)
Lineage: Eukaryota; Metazoa; Chordata; Actinopteri; Syngnathiformes; Dactylopteridae
Also listed under: 1 other name
Description: tRNA-Val
Rfam family: tRNA
About the family: Transfer RNA (tRNA) molecules are approximately 80 nucleotides in length.
Source: RNAcentral